RNAcentral lists this ribosomal RNA (250 nucleotides) under uncultured Selenomonas sp. Its description in RNAcentral is "partial 16S ribosomal RNA". It matches the Rfam family "Bacterial small subunit ribosomal RNA", at positions 103 to 339 of the family's 1533-position model. Lineage: Bacteria; Bacillati; Bacillota; Negativicutes; Selenomonadales; Selenomonadaceae. The record is from RNAcentral.
CGGGUGAGUAACACGUAGACAACCUGCCGACAGGAUGGGGACAACAUUCCGAAAGGAAUGCUAAUACCGAAUGAAGUCAGAGGAGGGCAUCCUCCUCUGAUGAAAGAUGGCCUCUGAAUAUGCUAUCACCUGUUGAUGGGUCUGCGUCUGAUUAGCUAGUUGGUGAGGUAACGGCUCACCAAGGCGACGAUCAGUAGCCGGUCUGAGAGGAUGAACGGCCACAUUGGGACUGAGACACGGCCCAGACUCC